UGUUCAGUCGACCUUACAAUAUCAUGUCAUUUAGAAAUCAAUAGUAUUCUAUCUUUUAAGAAAACAUUCAGGAAUCACUGCUCUUUGCAUUUUCAUUCAUUAGUCAUUACUUGAGAAUAUGGUGUAUUAGUUGUUUCUUAACCUAUUUUCCUGUCAAGCUAGAUGGGUCAUAUGAUCUUCUGGUUCUAACAGUUUGGUCGCAUCGGUGGAAGACUGGUCCAUGCUCCGGUUCAUCAGAGGGGACAUCGGUCAGGGGCACAUCUGCAAGGCCUCAUCUACGUCUUCUUCUUCGCUGAAGAUGUUGGCCUACCUUCCUCAGGCUAUCUCUCUCUGUGGAAUCCUGCUAUGCGGCGAGGGCAGAGAUUAGGUUGCCGCUGCAGUUUACAAAUGCCAUGGUCCUAAUUUGACUGGUCAUAUUGGGCACACAGGUAAAAGAAGAGUACAACAGUGGACAUCAGAACUUUAUUCUUGAGCUCCCAUUCUUAAUUGGACACCACAAGAGUACAACAGUUUGCUUGACCUUUGCGAGCCCAUUGCAGUUCUCAAGUGCAAACCGCUUAUUGCUCACUUCUGAAACAAAAUAACAAAAGCAUUGAAAAGUCAUUCUGAGAUUCACAAAAUAAGAGAUGCCCGCUGUUAGGACAUAUUUGAAUAAUCCUUUUGGUUUCUGUAUAUGGUCUCUUCCUAGCUAUUACAUAUGAAUUGGUAUAUUGCAUACUAACUGGAGGUUUGAUAAUUUUUAAUGAUGUGUUACUCAUAUAUAUAUAGUCCAUCGGGUACCAGGUUAAAGGACAUUGCUUAACAACUUUUGGCUUCUAAAAUUUAUUCAGUUAAGAUUAAGAUGCAGAUAUGUUUUGAAUAAGAAGAGAACUCCUAAGUAACACUUCGUACAGUAUGCAAUAUUUUUUUUUAGCACGACAUAAGUAUAGCUACUUACUUUUAUACCAAAAUCUUUUCUUCAGUUGGUUUCUCUACUUCCUCACUACGCUUUUGAUUGUUAUUCGUGCGCGAAACAGUUUGUUAAGUCAAUUGUAAUUUGCACAGUGAGGUUCUAACCUAUCCACUGAAAAUAUCGUUUGUAACAAAUAUCUCGAGAUCUUGGUGAGCAUGGAUUUUGUACAAUCUGCUUUUUUAUCUUCUUUUCUUG
This is a long non-coding RNA of Lolium rigidum, 1147 nucleotides long. RefSeq lists it as uncharacterized. Lineage: Eukaryota; Viridiplantae; Streptophyta; Magnoliopsida; Poales; Poaceae. The record is from RefSeq and is a predicted model, not a curated record. The transcript has 3 exons.